This 330-nucleotide ribosomal RNA is filed under the name uncultured Pseudomonadota bacterium. RNAcentral describes it as "bacterial SSU rRNA". It matches the Rfam family "Bacterial small subunit ribosomal RNA", at positions 29 to 351 of the family's 1533-position model. The record is from RNAcentral. Lineage: Bacteria; Pseudomonadati; Pseudomonadota.
AGCGAACGUUAGCGGCGGGCCUAACACAUGCAAGUCGAGCGAGAAAGGGGCUUCGGUCCCGAGUACAGCGGCGGACGGGUGAGGAACACGUAGGUAAUCUGCCUUUCAGUGGAGGACAACGGUCCGAAAGGACCGCUAAUACUGCAUACGUUCCUUGGGACUCCGGUCCUGGGGAGGAAAGCCUCGCAAGGGGGCGCUGGAAGAGGAGCCUGCGUCGCAUCAGCUAGUUGGUGGGGUAACGGCCUACCAAGGCGAAGACGCGUAGCUGGUCUGAGAGGAUGAUCAGCCACACUGGGACUGAGACACGGCCCAGACUCCUACGGGUGGCUG